AGAGUUUGAUCAUGGCUCAGGACGAACGCUGGCGGCGUGCUUAACACAUGCAAGUCGAACGGUGAAGGGGAGCUUGCUCCCCGGAUCAGUGGCGAACGGGUGAGUAACACGUGGGCAACCUGCCCCAGACUUCGGGAUAACGCUUCGAAAGAGGUGCUAAUACCGGAUACGAACUCCUUGGGCAUCCCGGGAGUUGGAAAGUUUUUCGGUCUGGGAUGGGCCCGCGGCCUAUCAGCUUGUUGGUGAGGUAACGGCUCACCAAGGCGACGACGGGUAGCCGGCCUGAGAGGGCGACCGGCCACACUGGGACUGAGACACGGCCCAGACUCCUACGGGAGGCAGCAGUGGGGAAUAUUGCGCAAUGGGCGAAAGCCUGACGCAGCAACGCCGCGUGAGGGACGACGGCCUUCGGGUUGUAAACCUCUUUCAGCAGGGAAGAAGCGAAAGUGACGGUACCUGCAGAAGAAGCACCGGCUAACUACGUG
Molecule: ribosomal RNA, 485 nt
Filed under: uncultured bacterium
Lineage: Bacteria
Description: bacterial SSU rRNA
Rfam family: Bacterial small subunit ribosomal RNA
Source: RNAcentral